UGGGCUUGAAAUAUAGAGACCCUUUCGAGAAAUACCAUUUCUGGUAUCGUCCUCUAUAUUUCAAGCCCAGGUAAGGUUCUUCGCGUUGCAUCGAAUUAAACCACAUGCUCCACUGCUUGUGCGGGCCCCCGUCAAUUCUUUUGAGUUUCACCCUUGCGAGCGUACUCCCCAGGCGGCAUACUUAACGCGUUAGCUCCGAAACAGGGGGGGUUGAGCCCUCCUACUUCUAGUAUGCAUCGUUUAAGGCAUGGACUAC
RNAcentral lists this unclassified non-coding RNA (256 nucleotides) under uncultured Chlamydiales bacterium. RNAcentral's name for it is "contains 16S-23S intergenic spacer region". The record is from RNAcentral. Lineage: Bacteria; Pseudomonadati; Chlamydiota; Chlamydiia; Chlamydiales.